AUGAACGGUUGUAGGCAUAGAGACAAACUGUCGCAGGUAUCAUUUUGUGCUUCGGGUGGAGAUUAUACCCUACUACGCCCCUUGCAUCCUAAGGCUCUCAAGAAAGUUCCGGUGCUUGUUGUCCAGAUUGCUUGUGAGAUAGUCGAGGAAGUCAUUAAAACUGCUCGCGGUGUACUUUUCAGGAUUCUGCUCAUUCACGAGCUCUCUGGCGCUGGAGACCUUCUCAUGCAUUGCGAAACCAUUAAUGCUAGCCAUGGAGAUCCUUGCCUCUUCAGGAUUCAGAACAGCUCGGUGCACAACAGUCUUGAUUUUGCCAUUGCUCAGGACUUCCAUGUGGUCUCCUACGUGGACAUGCAAUGCAUGUGGGAGUGGCUGGACCACUUUCCAGCUGUUGCUGUUGCGGUCGACGACCUCCAGGCCUCGACAACUUGUGAACAAGAUGAUUGGGGGUUUUUCCGGCCAAUAUUGUACCCAUUCACUCAGGGGAUGGGCAUAAUGCUUUAG
RNAcentral lists this ribosomal RNA (504 nucleotides) under Triticum aestivum (bread wheat). Its description in RNAcentral is "partial small subunit ribosomal RNA". Lineage: Eukaryota; Viridiplantae; Streptophyta; Magnoliopsida; Poales; Poaceae. The record is from RNAcentral.